Molecule: unclassified non-coding RNA, 1127 nt
Filed under: Hevea brasiliensis (rubber tree)
Lineage: Eukaryota; Viridiplantae; Streptophyta; Magnoliopsida; Malpighiales; Euphorbiaceae
Source: RNAcentral
AAAAAAAAAAAAAAAAAAAGGCAGUUCGUGAACUAAUCCAUUAACAUCAAAGAGCUGAACUCCUUAACGUCAAAGCAGGGGUAAUUCAAGUAUUGUCCUUUGCCUUAACAGUAAUCAGAUUCUUUUUCUUAUUCCUUAUAAUCACACCCCAACAAGGAUCAACAUAUCAUAUUUCUUCAUGCCUACCAAAGUUGCAAAUGCCAGCAAUAUGAAAUAUAUAGUUCUUGGUUGGAUGCCAGUAAGACUGCUAAUUAGACUUCAAACCACUUUCAAUCUGUAUUCUUGAAACCACAACUUAAUUUGGAUGGAAAGCAACACAGUUGUUAAAGGCAAGCCUCAAGUGCAAGGCACUAGGGGCCUAAUCUCUAGCGCGUCAAUCCUUGAAGGGUGUUGAUGUUCAAGAGAUGCAUGCCUUGCGCCUUGCUCCUUGCUAAAAUUAUCUUUCCAAAAAUUUCACAAAAAUUUCAACAGAAUUUUCUCAAUAUUUUUGUAGAGAUUGACUUAUUAUACACAUAUCUAUAUAUAAACAUACUCACAAAGUUAUACAUGUUUAAGGAAUGUAUACAAGAUUAUAGCUUAUUGAAAUAAAAGAGGCUAAAAUUAUGCUUUUCAAUAUCAUAUUGAAAUUCCUUUAGUUUUGGAAUGAGAUUGAUUUAUUCCUAUAAUCUUGUUAUGAGAUGACUUUUUAUUUCAAGUUUCCAAUGAUCUAUUUAUUAUGAGUAUAUAUUUCUAUUUGUAAAUUUAUUAUGAUAUAGUCGUCAUGAGUUGACUUUUCUUUUUUCCAAUUUUCUUUGGUUACAUUCUUCUUUUUCCAAAUUUAAUUCAACUUUGUCACCCUUGUCCAAUUUCUUUUUCUUUCUUCUUUUUGUAUAUUCCUCUUUGUUUCUAUCUCUUGCCCAGGGGCUUUUUUUUUCCCUUCUUUUAAGAUGUUUUUAUGGCUUUUUGCUUAAUUGUUAUGGAAGAAAAUGCUGCCCAUUAAUCUACCUUGUAUGAAUUGAUAUUAUACUAUUUAUUUGACCAUAAGAAAUUUGCAAAUAAGGAAACAAAAGACGUAAGAUUAACAUAAAAUCUUUUUUUUUUUUGUUAUUUAAGAAAACCAACUUAUUCUCAACUCAACUCAACUCAAC